Long non-coding RNA from Lolium perenne, 1358 nucleotides. RefSeq lists it as uncharacterized. The record is from RefSeq and is a predicted model, not a curated record. Lineage: Eukaryota; Viridiplantae; Streptophyta; Magnoliopsida; Poales; Poaceae.
CCCCUCUCCCUCUAUAAAUUGGCCCUUGGCCGGCCACUCCCUCCUCCUUUGGUCAUUUUUCUCACACUCCACUCCCUCACACUCUCCUCUACCUCUCCCCCACGAAAAUGCUGCUGCCCCUUGCUCCCAUGGCCGGCCAUGGCCAUGGAAGGCACUCCAAGAUGAAGCUCCCUCCUCCCUCAAGCUCCUCCUCACCAUGAGAGCCUCCCUCUCCUUCUUCUCCCCAACCCUAGAUGGUUUUCUCUCCUCUUCCUCUUCAUCCAUUGCUAAGAUUGGAUCUUGAUGCAGGUGCAUGUUGGUCCAAGCAUGGAGAAGCUUGAGCUAUCCUCAGAUCUGAAGUUCUUGAGCAAAAUCCAAAUCGAGUGAUUCAAAGUUCCGCAGAUAGAUACGGAAAAGAUCUACAACUUGGCGUUAGUCUCAUCCUCAAAUUCGUUACGGAUUGUCCGUGGUGAAAGCCCUCUUCAAUACCUUCAUUUUGGCGGUGGUUUCACUUCGAUUGACCUCCUGAAACUGAAAUGGUUCACAGGUCAAGAUCUGGUCAGAUCUGACUUUGUCGAAUUAAACCAGGAGCUUGGGAACGAAUCUUUGAGUGAAACAAAUUGGGGGAUGUUUGGUUUAUACCAUGGUGAUAACCGAGAGAGGCAAUUGCUAAGUUGUGAUGCACUCAUACCUCUACUAGAUGCGAACAAUUCCGGAGAAGAAGAAGAAGUGGAAUUGGACAAGGAUUUUAUUUAUAUUGUUGGGAUUCUUAUAUUGAUAGAGUUGAAGAAGUACAGGGAAAAAUAAGCCAAGGCAAGCCAUUUACUUUGAUCCAUCGUUCUCUAUGUUCUUGAUUGAGAUCUUGCCAUCCUUUGGUCUCUUGGCUCCUUGUGUUCCUUGGGUUUUCGAUUACUUUGUUUCUUUACAUACUUGCCACCAAGUAUGUAAGGUUCUCCUUGUUACUUUGCAUACCUACUCUAAGUAUGCGAAUUACGUUCAUCGCCUUUUGACACCUCUAAUUCUAGUAAAGAUAUGGGUUAACCUCAUUAAAAUUGCUCCACUUUUGAUUAUCUCCAUUUAUGCUCAAUGUGAGUAUGGAUGUCUUUGUCACCCUUCAUGGUAUAAUGGCAACUUUUGGGCUAUUAUACUUCUUAGUUCACACAUAAACUUUAGGUUGGGAAAACCCUCAAGGUUUUACCUUGUUGUAAAAGUUUUUGAUAAAACCUUGGGCAUGAUGUUUUCCCCAAGUGAGGAUUUAUGAAAGGAAAGGAUUUGGUAAAAAUGAUGAGGAUGUGAAAAAGGUUGGGUUUUAUGAAAACUUUGGCGCCUAAGUACUCACCCAUGACAAUUAACUAGCGCAACCACAAUAUCCAAAGUGG